GACGAACGCUGGCGGCGUGCCUAAUACAUGCAAGUCGUACUCUUCUUUUUCCACCGGAGCUUGCUCCACCGGGAAAAGAGGAGUGGCGAACGGGUGAGUAACACGUGGGUAACCUGCCCAUCAGAAGGGGAUAACACUUGGAAACAGGUGCUAAUACCGUAUAACAAUCGAAACCGCAUGGUUUUGAUUUGAAAGGCGCUUUCGGGUGUCACUGAUGGAUGGACCCGCGGUGCAUUAGCUAGUUGGUGAGGUAACGGCUCACCAAGGCCACGAUGCAUAGCCGACCUGAGAGGGUGAUCGGCCACAUUGGGACUGACACACGGCCCAAACUCCUACGGGAGGCAGCAGUAGGGAAUCUUCGGCAAUGGACGAAAGUCUGACCGAGCAACGCCGCGUGAGUGAAGAAGGUUUUCGGAUCGUAAAACUCUGUUGUUAGAGAAGAAUAAGGAUGAGAGUAACUGUUCAUCCCUUGACGGUAUCUAACCAGAAAGCCACGGCUAACUACGUGCCAGCAGCCGCGGUAAUACGUAGGUGGCAAGCGUUGUCCGGAUUUAUUGGGCGUAAAGCGAGCGCAGGCGGUUUCUUAAGUCUGAUGUGAAAGCCCCCGGCUCAACCGGGGAGGGUCAUUGGAAACUGGGAGACUUGAGUGCAGAAGAGGAGAGUGGAAUUCCAUGUGUAGCGGUGAAAUGCGUAGAUAUAUGGAGGAACACCAGUGGCGAAGGCGGCUCUCUGGUCUGUAACUGACGCUGAGGCUCGAAAGCGUGGGGAGCAAACAGGAUUAGAUACCCUGGUAGUCCACGCCGUAAACGA
This 810-nucleotide ribosomal RNA is filed under the name uncultured bacterium. RNAcentral describes it as "bacterial SSU rRNA". It matches the Rfam family "Bacterial small subunit ribosomal RNA", at positions 28 to 809 of the family's 1533-position model. The record is from RNAcentral.